AGGGUUGUAGUUAAAUAUAACAUUUGAUUUG
This 31-nucleotide transfer RNA is filed under the name Drosophila melanogaster (fruit fly). RNAcentral's name for it is "partial tRNA-Ala". Lineage: Eukaryota; Metazoa; Arthropoda; Insecta; Diptera; Drosophilidae. The record is from RNAcentral.